CAGUCGAACGAACUCUGGUAUUGAUUGGUGCUUGCAUCAUGAUUUACAUUUGAGUGAGUGGCGAACUGGUGAGUAACACGUGGGAAACCUGCCCAGAAGCGGGGGAUAACACCUGGAAACAGAUGCUAAUACCGCAUAACAACUUGGACCGCAUGGUCCGAGUUUGAAAGAUGGCUUCGGCUAUCACUUUUGGAUGGUCCCGCGGCGUAUUAGCUAGAUGGUGAGGUAACGGCUCACCAUGGCAAUGAUACGUAGCCGACCUGAGAGGGUAAUCGGCCACAUUGGGACUGAGACACGGCCCAAACUCCUACGGGAGGCAGCAGUAGGGAAUCUUCCACAAUGGACGAAAGUCUGAUGGAGCAACGCCGCGUGAGUGAAGAAGGGUUUCGGCUCGUAAAACUCUGUUGUUAAAGAAGAACAUAUCUGAGAGUAACUGUUCAGGUAUUGACGGUAUUUAACCAGAAAGCCACGGCUAACUACGUGCCAGCAGCCGCGGUAAUACGUAGGUGGCAAGCGUUGUCCGGAUUUAUUGGGCGUAAAGCGAGCGCAGGCGGUUUUUUAAGUCUGAUGUGAAAGCCUUCGGCUCAACCGAAGAAGUGCAUCGGAAACUGGGAAACUUGAGUGCAGAAGAGGACAGUGGAACUCCAUGUGUAGCGGUGAAAUGCGUAGAUAUAUGGAAGAACACCAGUGGCGAAGGCGGCUGUCUGGUCUGUAACUGACGCUGAGGCUCGAAAGUAUGGGUAGCAAACAGGAUUAGAUACCCUGGUAGUCCAUACCGUAAACGAUGAAUGCUAAGUGUUGGAGGGUUUCCGCCCUUCAGUGCUGCAGCUAACGCAUUAAGCAUUCCGCCUGGGGAGUACGGCCGCAAGGCUGAAACUCAAAGGAAUUGACGGGGGCCCGCACAAGCGGUGGAGCAUGUGGUUUAAUUCGAAGCUACGCGAAGAACCUUACCAGGUCUUGACAUACUAUGCAAAUCUAAGAGAUUAGACGUUCCCUUCGGGGACAUGGAUACAGGUGGUGCAUGGUUGUCGUCAGCUCGUGUCGUGAGAUGUUGGGUUAAGUCCCGCAACGAGCGCAACCCUUAUUAUCAGUUGCCAGCAUUAAGUUGGGCACUCUGGUGAGACUGCCGGUGACAAACCGGAGGAAGGUGGGGAUGACGUCAAAUCAUCAUGCCCCUUAUGACCUGGGCUACACACGUGCUACAAUGGAUGGUACAACGAGUUGCGAACUCGCGAGAGUAAGCUAAUCUCUUAAAGCCAUUCUCAGUUCGGAUUGUAGGCUGCAACUCGCCUACAUGAAGUCGGAAUCGCUAGUAAUCGCGGAUCAGCAUGCCGCGGUGAAUACGUUCCCGGGCCUUGUACACACCGCCCGUCACACCAUGAGAGUUUGUAACACCCAAAGUCGGUGGGGUAACC
This 1415-nucleotide ribosomal RNA is filed under the name Lactiplantibacillus plantarum. RNAcentral's name for it is "bacterial SSU rRNA". It matches the Rfam family "Bacterial small subunit ribosomal RNA". The record is from RNAcentral. Lineage: Bacteria; Bacillati; Bacillota; Bacilli; Lactobacillales; Lactobacillaceae.